This 715-nucleotide small RNA is filed under the name Pongo abelii (Sumatran orangutan). RNAcentral describes it as "processed transcript". Lineage: Eukaryota; Metazoa; Chordata; Mammalia; Primates; Hominidae. The record is from RNAcentral.
AGGUAAUACAUAUAAUAUUCCAAUAUGCUUAUGGCUACUGGACACAUACCCAUAUAAUCCCCCUAUCUGUUUUGUUAAGCCUACUAGUUCAAUGACUAUUAAAACAGGAAAGCAUGUUGAUGCAAAUGGGAAGAUAUAUCUUCCUUAUCUACAUGAAUGGAAACACCCACAGUCAGACUUGUUGGGGCUUAUUCAGGUCAUGAUUGUGGUAUUUGGAGAUGAACCUCCAGUCUUCUCUCGUCCUGUUUCGGCAUCCUAUCCGCCAUACCAGGCAACGGGGCCACCAAAUACUUCCUACAUGCCAGGCAUGCCAGGUGGAAUCUCUCCAUACCCAUCCGGAUACCCUCCCAAUCCCAGUGGUUACCCAGGCUGUCCUUACCCACCUGGUGGUCCAUAUCCUGCCACAACAAGUUCUCAGUACCCUUCCCAGCCUCCUGUGACCACUGUUGGAGCUGCUGCCACCGUUGCUGCAGCCACGGCAGGCACCGCCACCGCUGCCAGAGGAGUGGGCUUGGGAAGGAAGUGGUCACCUCGCUUGGAGCUUCACUCGGAAGCAUCCUCCUCCCCUGCAGCCCUCCCACGGGAAUGACUGGAUGAAAGUGAGCUGGUACAGAAAGCCAACUCACUGAGCAGGCUGAGCGCUAUGAUGAUAUGGCUGUAGCCAUGAAGGCAGUCACAGAACAGAGGCAUGAAUUGUCUAACGAAGAGAGAAAUC